GGGGACUAGAUGUUGUUGGCGGCAUGCGGGUCCUGCAAACCCGAUGGAUGGGUUCGAGUCCCAUAGUCUCCACCA
RNAcentral lists this transfer RNA (75 nucleotides) under Acidobacteriota bacterium. RNAcentral's name for it is "Acidobacteria bacterium tRNA-Ala". It matches the Rfam family "tRNA". From Rfam's summary of the family: Transfer RNA (tRNA) molecules are approximately 80 nucleotides in length. Their secondary structure includes four short double-helical elements and three loops (D, anti-codon, and T loops). Further hydrogen bonds mediate the characteristic L-shaped molecular structure. tRNAs have two regions of fundamental functional importance: the anti-codon, which is responsible for specific mRNA codon recognition, and the 3' end, to which the tRNAs corresponding amino acid is attached (by aminoacyl-tRNA synthetases). tRNAs cope with the degeneracy of the genetic code in two manners: having more than one tRNA (with a specific anti-codon) for a particular amino acid; and 'wobble' base-pairing, i.e. permitting non-standard base-pairing at the 3rd anti-codon position. RNAcentral also lists the same sequence under 2 other names. Lineage: Bacteria; Pseudomonadati; Acidobacteriota. The record is from RNAcentral.